GCAAGUCGAACGAAGUAGCAAUACUUAGUGGCAGACGGGUGAGUAACAUGUGGGUAUCUGCCCUUUGGCCUGGAAUAACACGAGGAAACUUGUGCUAAUACCGGAUAAGUCUUUACGGAGAAAGCUUUAUGCACCAUUGGAUGAGCCCGCACUUGAUUAGUUUGUUGGUAGGGUAAUGGCCUACCAAGACAUCGAUCAGUAGCUGGUCUGAGAGGAUGAUC
RNAcentral lists this ribosomal RNA (221 nucleotides) under uncultured bacterium. RNAcentral describes it as "partial 16S ribosomal RNA". It matches the Rfam family "Bacterial small subunit ribosomal RNA", at positions 57 to 305 of the family's 1533-position model. The record is from RNAcentral.